RNAcentral lists this ribosomal RNA (917 nucleotides) under Trechispora gelatinosa. RNAcentral describes it as "partial large subunit ribosomal RNA". It matches the Rfam family "Eukaryotic large subunit ribosomal RNA", at positions 33 to 968 of the family's 3401-position model. The record is from RNAcentral. Lineage: Eukaryota; Fungi; Basidiomycota; Agaricomycetes; Trechisporales; Hydnodontaceae.
CUUAAGCAUAUCAAUAAGCGGAGGAAAAGAAACUAACAAGGAUUCCCCUAGUAACUGCGAGUGAAGCGGGAAAAGCUCAAAUUUGAAAUCUGGCGGUUCUGCCGUCCGAGUUGUAUUCUGGAGAAGCGUCUUCUGUGCUGGACCGUGUACAAGUCCCUUGGAACAGGGCGUCAUAGAGGGUGAGAAUCCCGUCUUUGACACGGACCCCCAGCGCUAUGCGAUGCGCUCUCGAAGAGUCGAGUUGUUUGGGAAUGCAGCUCAAAAUGGGUGGUAAAUUCCAUCUAAAGCUAAAUAUUGGCGAGAGACCGAUAGCGAACAAGUACCGUGAGGGAAAGAUGAAAAGCACUUUGGAAAGAGAGUAAAACAGUACGUGAAAUUGUUGAAAGGGAAACGCUUGGAGUCAGUCGCGUCUGCCGGAACUCAGCCUGGCUUCUGCCCGGCGCACUUUCCGGCCUGACGGGCCAGCAUCGGUUUCGGAUGGUGGACACUGGCGGUGGGGAAGGUGGCAGCUCCGGCUGCGUUAUAGCCCCUCGUCGCGAACGCCGUCUGGGACCGAGGAAUCCGGCGCGAGCCUGGGAUGCUGGCGUAAUGGCUUUAAACGACCCGUCUUGAAACACGGACCAAGGAGUGCUACGUGCUCGCGAGUGUUCGGGUGGAAAACCCGUACGCGCAAUGAAAGUGAAAGUCGAUACCCCUCGCGGGGGCACCGACGCCCGAGCCCGAUGUUUUCGGACGGCCUUGCGGUAGAGCGAGUGUGUUGCGACCCGAAAGAUGGUGAACUAUUCCUGAGGAGGGCGAAGCCAGAGGAAACUCUGGUGGAGGCUCGUAGCGGUUCUGACGUGCAAAUCGAUCGCAGGACUUGGGUAUAGGGGCGAAAGACUAAUCGAACCAUCUAGUAGCUGGUUCCUGCCGAAGUU